AAUACUUUUCAAGCUUUGGGUGAAGAUCUGGUGUAGAAUCGGUUUUUAUCAGUUUAAUAUCUGAUAUGCUUCAUCCAAAGAAAAGGUGUUAAAAGGAUUUUUAGAAAUAGGAGAUGAAAUGGGGCUUGCUUCAUCAACUCUGAUGCAUUGUCUUGGUAUUAAAAUACUUUCAGGGAUUACGGACAAAUU
Molecule: small nuclear RNA, 189 nt
Organism: Heterocephalus glaber (naked mole-rat)
Lineage: Eukaryota; Metazoa; Chordata; Mammalia; Rodentia; Bathyergidae
Gene: U2
Rfam family: U2 spliceosomal RNA
About the family: U2 is a small nuclear RNA (snRNA) component of the spliceosome (involved in pre-mRNA splicing). Complementary binding between U2 snRNA (in an area lying towards the 5' end but 3' to hairpin I) and the branchpoint sequence (BPS) of the intron results the bulging out of an unpaired adenosine, on the BPS, which initiates a nucleophilic attack at the intronic 5' splice site, thus starting the first of two transesterification reactions that mediate splicing.
Source: Ensembl